AUUUGGAGGUGAUAAUGACCAUCGUCUUGAACGUGAAGUAGCAACUGUUGUUCGCCACCAUAGACCAAAGUAAGCCAAUGGAGGGAGCAGAAUCUGGAAGUCAUCAAACAAAUACUCCAUCGCCCGAAGAGGUUGAACAUCAUGUGCAGAGAAACCAAGGUUCUCGGAUCUGGCGAGAUCUGAACUACAACUACUGGAUCUGAUGCCUCGCUCACACCAUAGCAAAGCAGAACUUGUCAUUCCCUUAGGGAAAUGGUUCAUCGGACAAGGAGCCGAAGAUGAUGGUAAAAGCCGGUAAGAUUUUAGGUAUGUAUAUUGGAAGGACCUUGAAUAUGAAAACCAAGCAGUAGCAACCGGCGGUUUCACAGAAGCAGAGAGGUCACUGGAUGAAGUAAGCAAGCACCUCCACAGAGGAACAAAAGCAAACCUCGUCCA
This 435-nucleotide long non-coding RNA is filed under the name Brassica napus (rape). RNAcentral describes it as "long non-coding RNA (BNAP_LNC011462)". The record is from RNAcentral. Lineage: Eukaryota; Viridiplantae; Streptophyta; Magnoliopsida; Brassicales; Brassicaceae.